This 671-nucleotide small RNA is filed under the name Pongo abelii (Sumatran orangutan). Its description in RNAcentral is "processed transcript". The record is from RNAcentral. Lineage: Eukaryota; Metazoa; Chordata; Mammalia; Primates; Hominidae.
ACUCCUGGAGACGCGGAGACCCUGGCGCUCCAGACCAGUUUCCUUGUGGGAGGCUUCUUCCCGAAGCUUAGAGUUUGGCCUUUCAUAGGGAAAGACUUGCUCGGGAGCCUUCUAAGGGAUUUUAAAUCUUCCUGGACCAGGGCUAGGGAGCUCUAGUGACAGUGUCUUGGUCUGACAUCCAACUCUCCAAUUUUGAGGCCGCAGGGAGGAAUUCUCAGACUUUAGAGGCCGCACAGCCUUCAGCGCGCUCACUGCGUCCAGGCGUCAGUGAGGGGCUAUCUCGAGGCGCGAGUGCACAAAAGGUAGCGCGAGUCUCUUCUCAGGCGAUCCAGAUAAGAGGAAAUGAGAGCCGGGUUUUCUGACUUCCAACUCAUUAGGGACCAGGUUCUUUUUCUUCAGGAUCAGGCACAGAGACUGACUGAAUGGCUCCAAUUAUCAGGAUUUGAAAACCCAGUAUCAGAAUCUACCACUUUGUAUGGAGAAACUGAGGCCCAGAAAUUGAUCUCCAGAAUGCUUUGCUCUUAGCCACUGUACUAUUAUGGCAUAUUUUAUCUUUAUGUAUUGCAUCAUUUCAUGGAUUCAAGUUUAUCAAUGUCCUUUGACAAGUUUAAAAAUCUGUCUGCUAAAACCUAUCAAAUACAUUAAGGAAAAGUCCCACUUGGCACAUCUCC